This 301-nucleotide ribosomal RNA is filed under the name uncultured bacterium. Its description in RNAcentral is "partial 16S ribosomal RNA". It matches the Rfam family "Bacterial small subunit ribosomal RNA", at positions 509 to 807 of the family's 1533-position model. The record is from RNAcentral.
CAGCAGCCGCGGUAAUACGUAGGUGGCAAGCGUUGUCCGGAAUUACUGGGCGUAAAGCGUGCGCAGGCGGUUGUGUAAGACAGGUGUGAAAUCCCCGGGCUUAACCUGGGAACUGCGCUUGUGACUGCACAGCUAGAGUAUGGCAGAGGGGGGUGGAAUUCCACGUGUAGCAGUGAAAUGCGUAGAGAUGUGGAGGAACACCGAUGGCGAAGGCAGCCCCCUGGGCCAAUACUGACGCUCAUGCACGAAAGCGUGGGGAGCAAACAGGAUUAGAUACCCGUGUAGUCCCUGUCUCUUAUAC